This is a small nuclear RNA of Nilaparvata lugens (brown planthopper), 129 nucleotides long. RefSeq annotates it as U11 spliceosomal RNA. The transcript has a single exon. NCBI's taxonomy places the organism in Eukaryota, Metazoa, Arthropoda, Insecta, Hemiptera, Delphacidae. The record is from RefSeq and is a predicted model, not a curated record.
UAAAAGGGCGUUUGUCACUUACAUGACAUGCAGUCGUGACAUGCUGUAGGGUAUGGCCAUCAAGACAUACUCAACGCAUAAUAUUUGGAAACGUGGGGCUGUUGGCUGCCAAUAUGCACCGACGCCCCC